CCUACGAGUGGCAGCAGUGGGGAAUAUUGGUCAAUGGGCGCAAGCCUGACCCAGCAACGCCGCGUGAAGGAAGACGGCUUUCGGGUUUUAAACUUCUUUUCUCAGGGACGAAGAAUGUGACGGUACCUGAGGAAUAAGCCACGUCUAACUACGUGCCAGCAGCCGCGGUAAUACGUAGGUGGCAAGCGUUAUCCGGAUUUAUUGGGUGUAAAGGGCGUGUAGGCGGGAGCGCAAGUCAGAUGUGAAAACUCAGGGCUCAACCCUGAGACUGCAUUUGAUACUGUGUUUCUUGAGUGCUGGAGAGGCAAUCGGAAUUCGGGGUGUAGCGGUGAAAUGCGUAGAUAGACGGAGGAACACCAGUUGCGAAGGCGGAUUGCUGGACAGUAACUGACGCUGAGGCGCGAAAGCGUGGGGAGCAAACAGGAUUAGAUACCCUUGUAGUC
This 443-nucleotide ribosomal RNA is filed under the name uncultured bacterium. Its description in RNAcentral is "partial 16S ribosomal RNA". It matches the Rfam family "Bacterial small subunit ribosomal RNA", at positions 338 to 795 of the family's 1533-position model. The record is from RNAcentral.